GCGGGAGUAACUCAGCGGUAGAGUGCGACCUUGCCAAGGUCGAAGUCGCGGGUUCGAAUCCCGUCUCCCGCUCCA
RNAcentral lists this transfer RNA (75 nucleotides) under Pyrinomonas methylaliphatogenes. RNAcentral's name for it is "tRNA-Gly". It matches the Rfam family "tRNA". From Rfam's summary of the family: Transfer RNA (tRNA) molecules are approximately 80 nucleotides in length. Lineage: Bacteria; Pseudomonadati; Acidobacteriota; Blastocatellia; Blastocatellales; Pyrinomonadaceae. RNAcentral also lists the same sequence under 4 other names. The record is from RNAcentral.